CUUAAAUGAAUUGACGGGGAGCACCACAACGGGUGGAGCUUGCGGUUUAAUUGGAUUCAACGCCGGAAAUCUUACCGGGACCGACAGCAAUAUGAAGGCCAGGCUGAAGACUUUGCCGGAUUAGCUGAGAGGUGGUGCAUGGCCGUCGUCAGUUCGUACUGUGAAGCAUCCUGUUAAGUCAGGCAACGAGCGAGACCCACGCCCACAGUUGCCAGCGUACUCUCUGGAGUGACGGGUACACUGUGGGGACCGCCGCUGCUAAAGCGGAGGAAGGAAUGGGCAACGGUAGGUCAGUAUGCCCCGAAUAUCCCGGGCUACACGCGAGCUACAAUGGUUGGUACAAUGGGUAUCUACCCCGAAAGGGGACGGGAAUCUCCUAAAACCAAUCUUAGUUCGGAUUGAGGGCUGCAACUCGCCCUCAUGAGGCUGGAAUCCGUAGUAAUCGCGUUUCAACAGAACGCGGUGAAUACGUCCCUGCUCCUU
Molecule: ribosomal RNA, 483 nt
Filed under: uncultured Methanosaeta sp.
Lineage: Archaea; Methanobacteriati; Methanobacteriota; Methanomicrobia; Methanotrichales; Methanotrichaceae
Description: bacterial SSU rRNA
Rfam family: Archaeal small subunit ribosomal RNA
Source: RNAcentral